Molecule: long non-coding RNA, 5170 nt
Filed under: Homo sapiens (human)
Lineage: Eukaryota; Metazoa; Chordata; Mammalia; Primates; Hominidae
Description: HSALNT0387572
Source: RNAcentral
CUGACCCUCUCCACCCAUGCUUCGUGCACUCAGGCGCUCAUCCAGGGAUCAUCCUGUACCUCAGACUCCGCCAAGAACUGUCCAGCCCCAGGGCCUUUGCAAGCGCUGGUUGCACUGCCUGGGAUGCCCUCUCCCAGCUCACCACAUGGCUGGCUCUUUCCCAUUCAUUGGCCUCAGCCCAGUGGCCUCCUUCUCGUCAGAGAGGCCGCCCCUGCCUGCCCUGGCUGGCCGGCUCCUCCCCUACAAUGACUCUAUGACAUCAUCAUGUCCCUUCUCCUCGGAGUCCUCAGACCCUCCGAAAUCCUCUGGUCUGUGUUUUGUUUCCUCUGUCUCUAUCUCUCUCCCCACUAGAAGGCAGGCCCCAGGAGGGCAAGGACCCGGCCUGUCCAGCUCCCAGCCAUAGCCCCAGGGCGGGACUGCAGUAGAUGCUCAACAAGGCUUCUUUCCUCCCACCAGCCUCUCCUUCCCGCAGGGGCGACAGGACUUGGGGGUGUUGUUGGGGUCUAAACGACCCAAAGGAAAGAGACGCUGAAGUGGGUGAGCUGGCCUCGCACUGCACUUCCUGCUGGAGUUCAAAGUCAGCCCUGCCCCUGGAACUGCCAUGGCCAGUUUAGAUUGUUCCAGAAUCCCGCUGCAGGCUGUUCAAAAGGCUCCCAGCUGCUAUCAGGAAAUAGCUCAGGAAGGUCUCCGUUAAACACUAAGAAACUGAGAUGCAAUCAGCUGGCCUGGAAUUCAGGAAAGUGCUGGUUCUGAAAUUGAGGACAGAAAGGACAUGUCUCGGGGCGAGAAGAUGUGAACCUGCCAACCAGCCUGUGUUCUUCUUCCACCUGUCCUGCCACGUGUUCUGCCACGUCCAUGCCUCCUGUCCCGCCAACACCCCAGGAGUUGGCAGAUUGGGACCCUACUCCGUGGGGAAGGGAACGCUCAGUGACUGCUGCCCCCUGCUCGCUGGCGUCCACCCGUAAUCUCUCAGUUGUGGUCUCAAAGGCCAAACAUGAACCAGGAUUUUCCAUUAUGGUUGCAAUUUUGGCUUGUAAUUUUAUCACUCGAAUCUAAAUCCACUUCAGAAAUGCCAUAAACUAAUUGUCACUGAAUAAACUGAAACUUUUGAGGAGUUUAUAAAAGUGAUUUAGUGGGAGAAAAAAAGGAAAAUAGAAAACAAAUGUUGCCCACAGAAUUGUUGGCAAAAAGGUAAAAACUCUCUGUUUCUUUUGAAAGCAUUCCCUCGUCUGGGAGCAAUCCCUGCCCAUCGUGGCUUUGGGGCCCAGUCCCUGAGAUUGUGUUUGUCUUGGAGCUGGUGGGCUUGAUUUCACGUUUGUCCCUGGGAAGCUGAUUGAGGCAGCGUCGGCAGUGAGGGCAGGGGUAGGUUGCGUAGAAAGUAAAUGGCCGCAGAUCAGAUCCAAUCCUUAUCCCACAGAAUGAACCUUGUUUCCUUGAUUAAAAAUAAUAAUAAUAACAAAAUGAAUGUUGGGGUUAAGUAAAUGUGAGUUAAUUACUAAGUUGUGACCACGUUCACAGUUUCUGAGGCUAAACACUUCAACGCUCCUUGUCAGUUUAUGUUAGGCAAUAAUUUGAAUGACUACUGGUUAGCUGUUUCACUUCAUUCAUAUUAAGAAACAAUAUACAAAGGGUAUAAAGUGAUCAGCUCUGUUUACGCUGAGGAGGAGGGUUAUAAAAUCAGCUAACAGGGAGCAGGGCAGAGGGGAGAGUGCUCAGGGUUUUUGAUGUGCUUCUGAUGAUCGUUUACGAAGGAAAAUCUUUGGAGAAACUUUUAAAUGUAGACACUCUGGGAACAGUGAAAUGAUGCAAAGCCCUCAACGGCAUUUUCAGCAUGGACCAGGGAGAGAGGAGAGAGUUUCCCUGGAACACACAGCUUGUCGAUAAGAAAGAGCCUACAAAAUACUCCAGGUCAAAAGGAGCGAGAUCCAGGAUCAGUUGAACUCCUGCAAGACCUGCCAGUGCCGAAUUACAGCAAUCUUGGUGCCUGCUGAGGUGGGAGUCAGGGAGGCUGUGGAAUUCUGAGCUUCCUGGUUGGCUGAGGAGAGAGGGCUCAGGGGAGAGGUCUUCCUCCCACCACUGCCUUAGAGAAACCCCAAAACCUCAUAGCUUCGAACCCCAGAAUUCUCUGGUCUUCUGCAAAAAUGCAGACAUGCUGGUGUCAGGAAUCAGCCUGGAGUCCCAGGAGCAGCAUCUCACAUCUUUACGGCAACACAAAACAAAGCAACACAAAAACAACAAAUGCAAAGAUAUCUUCUUGAGGAGAGGCCUCAACUGAAUGAGCAGGGAGGGGCGUGUUCCUUAAACCAGUGGUUCUCAAAAGGUGGUAUCUGGACCAGCAGCAGCAGCAGUGCCACCUGGGUGCAGACCAGAGGAUUCCAGAGCCCUGAGGGCUCCUAGAAGGAACACAGUGACAUCACAGAGUCAUUGUGGGGGAGGGGUUGGGCCAGCCAGGGCAGGCAGGGACAGCCCCUCUGAUGAGGAGGCCACUGGGCUGAGACCAAUGAAUGAGAUGGAGCCAGCCACGUGGUGAGCCAGAAGAGGGCAUCACAGAGCACCCUUUAGACCCGUUGGAACCGUUGCCCACAGGCAGAGAAGGAAUGGGAGUAGGAAACCCUCAGGAGGGGGCUGGAGAAAUAAAACGAGAGAGGGGUUCCGUCGGGCCAGGGACGAAAAUGGUGCACCAGCAGCCGAGGGCUGCCGUUUGUUGGCCGUCUGCACCUGAGGGCUUGAGUCUGGGGGAGCCUGGCUGCCCAGAGGUGGCAGAUGACAUGAAGAAAUAACCAUGUAAGGGCUGGCUGUGUAUGAGAGCAAGCAUUGGGAAGGAUGAAUGCCAACUAUGUUCCAGGAACUUCCACUGUUCUCACACACCCAGGUGAGUGGUGUUCAGGUGGGUGGCACCCAGGUGAGUGACAUCCCAGUUGAGUGGCACCCAGGUGAGUAGCAUCCAGGUGAGUGACACCUAGGUGAGUGACAUUCAGGUUAGUGGCGUCUGUGUGAGUGGCAUCAUCCAGGUGAGUAGCUUCCAGGUGAGUGGCACCCAGGUGAGUGGCAUUCGGGUGAGUGGCAUUAUCCAGGUGACACCUGGGUGAGUGGCAUCCAGGUGAGUGAUAUCAUCCAGGUAAGUGGCACCUAGGUGACAUCCAGGUGAGUGACGACAUCCAGGUGAGUGACAUCAUCCAGGUAAAUGGCACCCAGGUGAGUAGCAUUCAGGUGAGUGACACCCAGGCGAGUGGCAUCCACGUGACUAGCAUUGUCCAGGUGCAUAACACCCAGGUGAGUGGCACCCAGUUGAGUGGUGCCCAAGUGAGUCACAUCCAGGUAAGUGGGGUCCAGGUGGUGGCACCCAGGCGAGUGGUGCCCAGGUGAGUGACAGCCAGGUGAAUGGUGUCCAGGUGAGUGGCAUCACCCAGGUGAAUGGUGUCCAGGUGAGUGGCAUCCAGGUAAGUGGUGUCCAGGUGGUGGCACCCAGGUGAGUGGUGUCCAGGUGAGGGGCAUCACCCAGGUGAAUGGUGUCCAGGUGAGUGGCAUCCAGGUGGGUGGUACCGUCGACGUGACAAUAGCUAAAAAUUAUUGGGCUCAUUGUGGACAGGCACUGUGCCGAGCUUGACAUCACUGAACUCAGUUCAUCCUCGCCAGGAGCUUGUGGGCCGUCCCUAGAUCAGAAUCCGAGGAGAAAGGACUUCCACACGGCAGCCAGCGAGCUGGAGGGCGGCCUCCUGCCACCACCAGGCUCCCUAACCCAGUCCUGGAUAUCUGUGAAAGAAUGAGUGGAUCCCCACAGGCCAGCCCUGACUUCCCACAGCUAUCCCCAAACACACUCGUUUACACUGAAGCACCAGGAGAUCAGAACCUUCUGGAAUCUUAAUAUGCGAGGACUCGGUGGAGAAGGCGGCACUGAAGAAGAGUCGUCCCUAGGCCAGGCUGGAGGGAAACUCAAGACGGCGGCCUGGCCCUCCUGGGUGGCGGAAGUGGGAGCAGCAGGAGCCCUGGCGGAUCCGGGAGGCCAGAAGAGCGGAAGCUUCCUCCCCUCUCAGGACAGCCACAAGGACUUUCGGGGGUCGUGGCAGCUGCUCCACUUCCAACUUCCAGAUCCCUCUCACUUUCCUCUUCCCACCAACUCCAACCUGGGACCAAGCAGGGGAAAGCAGCUGCAGCCCAGCUUGACGCCCCUGCAAAUGGAGACCUGUGCACCUGGUUGUGAGCAUUUUAAAGGGUGUCACACAGGGCAUACCCUUCGGUGCCUGGAUUCCUUUGAUGAAAGGGCAAAGCCUUGAACCUAAGUCAUCUUCGAGUCCUCAGCACUUCACCCAGAGCCUGGCACACAGUAGGAGCACAGAAAGGUUUACAUCCAGCAGGAGUUGGCCCUGAGCUCUGAGUCCAGAUCAUUGCUCUUGGCUGAAGCAGCCUGUCUACUCACAAAGAUGAGCAUGGUCCCUGCCACGAGGAAACUCGUGGUCCUGUGGACUGCGGUGUGGAGGGAAAGCUUGGGAUUCUGAGCCUGAUAAUGCACCAUUACAUCCCCACUCACUCGGGCUGUGUGAACCCAGCAAGUCACAGGAUCACUGGGUGGUGAAAGAAAGAAACACUCACAGAAGCGUCUGUGCUUGGAGAGCCAUCUGGUCCGUCAUUGUGACUGCUGCUCUCAUUGCUAUCAUGGGUGUCACCAUUGCCAUCACUCAAGGACUUCUCUCCAGGCCCCGAAGCCAAGCUGGUGCCUGGUUCCUCUGGGUUGGGAGAGGGGCUGGGCAUGGACAGGAGGAGGGAAAAGGGACCUGUGCUAGCAGGUGAUGCCAUCCAAGACAUCUGCAUCCUAAUCCCUGGAACCUGGGAUUCCACUAGGUGCCAUGGCAAAGAGGGAUUAAGGUGGCAGGUGGAGUGAAGGUUGCUAAUCAGCCGACCUUAAAGUAGGGAGAUGAUCCUGAAUGAGACAAAAGAGAGAACCAGUCAUGGUGUCAUGAGAAGGACUCAAAAUGCAACUGCUGACUUUGAAGAUUAAGGGGCUACAAACCAAGGAACGUGGUAGUCUCUGGAAAAGACAAGGAAUAGACGCUGCGUUGGGGCCACCAGAAGGAACCAGCCCUGUCAACACCCUAAUUUUAGCCCAGUGAGGCCUGUGCUGGACUUCUGACCUCCAGAACUGUAAACUAAUAAAUGUGUGUUGUUUCUGCCA